GCUUUCCAUUCAAAUUGCAAAUGAUAACAAGCUGAGAUGUGCUGCACAAUUUUGUUCAGGAAUGUACAGAAAGUGCAUCUUAAUCCACUUCUAUCUAGUCCAUGGAUAGAGCUCGUUUUCUCAAUGCUGACUCCAUUUAAUGCUUUUGAGGUCAAUUCCGUCCUGCACCAUUUCCCAAAGAGGGCUCAUUUCCCUCAGCCUCUUAACAUGCUGUAUGCAUUUCUGCACCGUAUAAUCUAUUUCUUCUUCUGUAGUGAAACGACCAAUGCCAAAUCUUAUAGAGGAGUGAGCCAAGUCUUCGUCCGCUCCGAUUGCCCGCAAAACAUAUGAAGGCUCCAGAGAAGCUGAUGUGCAAGCACUUCCUGAAGAUAGAGCCACAUCUUUCAGAGCCAUGAGAAGACUCUCCCCUUCCACAUAUGCAAAAGAUAAAUUGAUGCAUCCUGGAUAACGAUGCUCUCUGUCUCCAUUCAUAACCACAUCAGGAACUUCACUCAGUAUUUUCGUAACGAGCCGUUCUGCCAGCUGUGAGAUUCGCUUAUGGUCAUACUCCAUCUCCUCCUGUGCCACCUCACACGCCGCCCCCAGGCCCACAGCCAGCGGUGUGGGCACAGUCCCGGAUCGCAGCCCUCUCUCCUGGCCUCCCCCGCUCUGCAGGGGUUCCAGCCGCACGCGCGGUCGCCGCCGAACGUAGAUGGCACCAACCCCUUUGGGCCCAU
RNAcentral lists this long non-coding RNA (716 nucleotides) under Gallus gallus (chicken). The record is from RNAcentral. Lineage: Eukaryota; Metazoa; Chordata; Aves; Galliformes; Phasianidae.